AGCUUUUAACAGCAGACUGAGUUCAAAUCUCUUUGUACAGGCAGCAUUGAAAUGAGUGAGAGAGCAUUGGAAUGGGACUCCCAAACCCGAGAGGAUCAGCUGAACUUGGUAAAGUCAUUCUCCUCUGUGGGCCUUUGUUUCAACAUUUGCAAUAAGAUUUGUGUAGGACACAUAAACCCACUGCCUUCAAUUUUCUGAAACUG
Molecule: long non-coding RNA, 203 nt
Organism: Suricata suricatta (meerkat)
Lineage: Eukaryota; Metazoa; Chordata; Mammalia; Carnivora; Herpestidae
Exons: 3
Source: RefSeq, a predicted model, not a curated record